GAAUAUUUUUCCCUUUGAUAGGAGAGCACGUGCGGCCUCUUGUGCGCUGAACCGACGGGACGCCAUUUUGAAAAACACGCAUGAAAAUGGCUGCCGACUGUUUGUGCUUGAAGACAUUUGCAAGACUCUUUCAGCUUCUUCGAGUUUUCAAGAAGAACAAUAACUGGAUCAAGGCGGGAGUCCGAGAAACAACAGUUUUCACCAUCAUUUUCUUGACUUUGUACACAACCGUGUAACCGUGCAUCAGGUUGCAGCUCAGGAUGCCUGUGAGGGCCAGGGAUGAGGCACCAUCCUGAGGUCAUAAUUACAUCUUUUCUGGCUUUCAGGAUGACUGAGAGCUCCAAAUUGCUGUCUGCAUUUUGCCUAUACUGAUAGCUCACCCAACGUUCCAUGGUUUUGGACCUCCAACUACAGAAAGCAACACUGUAGAAGUCUGUGAAGGCUUUGAAGUCCGGAAUCUAUUGAUGCUGCUCCUGACGUCUGGAUCUGAUGCCAACCGGUCGGACUCUCCUCGGGAAGAUUGGAUGGAAUCGUCUUAGGGAAAGGGCAAAUCUAUGGCAAACUCAUAUCUAGAAACAUAAUCAAAACUAGGAAGUUUUGGCUGAAGAAGCAUUCCAAAGAAGCUUGUGAGGCUUAAAAGAUUUUCAUAAUUUUAAAUAAAAUAGUAGCAAUGAGAGCUGGAAUUCUAAAUGAAGGAUUUUGCACAGUGUUCCUUGCAAUCUCAAACAAGUGAAAACCCUUGCCAUGGAUUUGCCCUGUACACUCAAAUAUAAAGAUGUAGAACCAGGCACAUGUCACAUAUAUCAAAUUAAUUAUUGGUUUUUGCAAAGGUUUUUGUAAAACAAAAAACAAAAAAAAACAAGAGUUUUAAAGUAAAUUUUUUCAUCUCAAAUUUGAUCAACUAUCUGUAAAUAAUCUUUACAUUAUCAAGACUUGAAGAACCUAUAAACCGCUCUUAUUUCAAAACGUCUAAUUUCUUUGACGACAAGAUCUUGCAUUGAACUCUUUCCUUUCAACAAGCUCCUUUAUUUAUUCGAAAUGGCUUCAUGCUGCACAAAAUAAAACCUUGGCAAUUAGGUUGGUGUGGUUUGAUGUAACAUUUCUUAGGAUUGAGAAUUUCCCUUUAAAUUUGAAAACAAGAGGGUCACCUUUUCUAACUAAAUUUCCUGAUUUUAUUGAAUGUUAAGAUUUUUAUUGAAAAUUUUGAUUAUCACAAUGACUUUUUAUUGAAAAUUUUGAUUAUCACAAUUACUUUUUAGUCAUUUUUUCCUGACAUGUGCCUGGUUUAUUUGGUUAUAUAGAAAUUAAGUAUCUACAUGAGCACACCAUAUGAAUGAUUCAGUCAGUCAAACUCAAUAAUUGUAGAGAAUUUUGCCAGUAUCCUUGCAGUUGUAUGUCAAAUGCCGCAGUUUCAGAUCCUGCUUUUCCACUUAUAAAAAGCACUUAAAUGAAUGACACGUAAUUGUCAUACAGUUUAAAUUAUCAAAGUAACUUUUAAAGUUAUCUCCCCUUGCUAGUUUUGAGUUUCACUCAGAAAAAGAUUUUUCUAACAAUUCAAAUUAUCAGACCACGUUUAGUUAAUAUGCAAUGAUUUCUAAUUGCUGCCAGAAAAUACUGUUGUGCGUGAUGGCCCAAAAUGAAAGCGCAUUAUUUUUCAGAAUGUUGAAAAUAUCCGAAAAAAAACUUUCUUUUUAAAUGAAACUUCAAUUGAAGAAAAAAUUCAGUAAAAAGAAAUCAAUGUGUUCAAAAGCACAAAUAGAGAACUUUAAACUAGCCAAAUCUUAAGAGCAAUGUGACUCUUAUGAAUAAUUAAAUACAGUUUAGUACUUUAUGUUCCAAAAAAUAGAACUUUUUGGUGACACUGGCUGGUAAAUUGCUGUAAAUCAUUCCUAUGGUGUGCUCGUAGAGAUUUGAUGU
This 1917-nucleotide long non-coding RNA is filed under the name Patiria miniata (bat star). RNAcentral's name for it is "uncharacterized LOC119727170". Lineage: Eukaryota; Metazoa; Echinodermata; Asteroidea; Valvatida; Asterinidae. The record is from RNAcentral.